CUGCUGCCUCCCGUAGGAGUUUGGUCCGUGUCUCAGUACCAAUGUGGGGGACCUUCCUCUCAGAACCCCUAUCCAUCGUCGGUUUGGUGGGCCGUUACCCCGCCAACUGCCUAAUGGAACGCAUGCCUAUCUAUCAGCGAUGAAUCUUUAGCAAAUAUCCCCAUGCGGGGCCCCUGCUUCAUGCGGUAUUAGUCCGACUUUCGCCGGGUUAUCCCCCUCUGAUAGGUAAGUUGCAUACGCGUUACUCACCGUGCGCCGGUCGCCGG
RNAcentral lists this ribosomal RNA (266 nucleotides) under uncultured bacterium. RNAcentral describes it as "partial 16S ribosomal RNA". The record is from RNAcentral.